UACGGCUACAUCACGUUGAAACACUAGCUCCCGUGCGGUCACUGAUGUUAAGCAACGUCGAGUCUAGUCCGUACCGUGAUGGGUGUCAGCUUGGGAAUACCAGGUGAUGGAA
Molecule: non-coding RNA, 112 nt
Organism: Acanthosepion pharaonis
Lineage: Eukaryota; Metazoa; Mollusca; Cephalopoda; Sepiida; Sepiidae
Source: the annotation of a GenBank genome assembly